RNAcentral lists this ribosomal RNA (253 nucleotides) under uncultured bacterium. Its description in RNAcentral is "partial 16S ribosomal RNA". It matches the Rfam family "Bacterial small subunit ribosomal RNA", at positions 524 to 776 of the family's 1533-position model. The record is from RNAcentral.
CACGUAGGGCGCAAGCGUUGUCCGGAAUUAUUGGGCGUAAAGAGCUCGUAGGCGGCUUGUUGCGUCGACUGUGAAAACCCGCGGCUUAACUGCGGGCUUGCAGUUGAUACGGGCAGGCUAGAGUUCGGUAGGGGAGACUGGAAUUCCUGGUGUAGCGGUGAAAUGCGCAGAUAUCAGGAGGAACACCGGUGGCGAAGGCGGGUCUCUGGGCCGAUACUGACGCUGAGGAGCGAAAGCGUGGGGAGCGAACAGG